UACGGGGGGGGCAAGCGUUGUUCGGAAUUACUGGGCGUAAAGGGCUUGUAGGUGGCCAACUAAGUCAGACGUGAAAUCCCUCGGCUUAACCGGGGAACUGCGUCUGAUACUGGAUGGCUUGAGUGUGGGAGAGGGAUGCGGAAUUCCAGGUGGUAGCGGUGAAAUGCGUAGAUAUCUGGAGGAACACCGGUGGCGAAGGCGGCAUCCUGGACCAAUAUUGACGCUGAGGAGCGAAAGCCAGGGGAGCAACGGG
This 253-nucleotide ribosomal RNA is filed under the name uncultured bacterium. RNAcentral describes it as "partial 16S ribosomal RNA". It matches the Rfam family "Bacterial small subunit ribosomal RNA", at positions 524 to 775 of the family's 1533-position model. The record is from RNAcentral.